UCGAGUGAUGAGCCCGCGCAGCGCUGAGCAAGAUGAUGAAGAUUUUAAGUGCUGACGC
Molecule: non-coding RNA, 58 nt
Organism: Pyrococcus abyssi GE5
Lineage: Archaea; Methanobacteriati; Methanobacteriota; Thermococci; Thermococcales; Thermococcaceae
Source: Rfam